Molecule: non-coding RNA, 1130 nt
Organism: Biomphalaria pfeifferi
Lineage: Eukaryota; Metazoa; Mollusca; Gastropoda; Planorbidae
Source: the annotation of a GenBank genome assembly
CUGAAAUAAUUUAAGAAAGAGGAAAAUAUUUUUUUAAAAAAUAGAUUAAAAAAAACAACAACCAACAAUUAGUUGUAUACUCCGUCCAAGUCUAGUUUCCUGGAUUUGUAUUACAUCUGUUUCAAAGUUGUACUUCAUACACUAAAUAGAAAAUAUUUAGUCAUCUUUUGUUAUUAGCUUAGCAUGUACUUGUUUUGUACCAGGUUUUUGGAAUCUUGGGUUUAGUUUUUAAAUAAAGUUGUCAGAAAGCUGAUUGUGAAGGGCAAGGAUUUGGCAGGAGACACAACUGGUUGCACACCCAAUUGAACAUGAGAAGAGUAAUCCUUUGAAGUCUGCCUAACUCACCCCUUUGUAGAAUGAGGAUGUGUUGUUUAUAAUACAUUAUUUCGUAGCACAACUAAUAUAUAUACAGACAAGUUAUGCACAAGUCUGGACUAAAAAAUAAUAUAUAUAUAUGUACUGAGAUGACAUGUUUGUAUUGUAAUAAUAGCGACUGCCCUAUUUCUAAUAGCAGCAUUGAAAUUUGAUUGAGCUAAGCAUUCAUUUGUAAUUCUCCCUUUUAAAUGUUUAACUAGUUCUGUAAUGUGUCUUUAAAGACAUGGGAGGUGAUUGAUUCAGGUAAUAUUAUUUCUGAUAAUCUAUAGAUUGAAUCAUAAUCAUUCAGUUUUAUUUCAUUAGCACUGAAACUUCAUUUAGUUUCACCUGUAGUUUAAAUUUGUGAAACUUCUCUUCGCCCUAUGCUAUUAUACAAUGAACACUCUAUUUACACUUAGCGCUAUGAGCAAGGGAAGCAUUUAAAUAUCAGUCAUUACAGCUUGUAUAAAAGUGCUAUUACAAUAAAGAAUGUUCGAACUAAGAUUUUGUUUUACCCAAAUUUGAAUAAAAAAUGAAUUUUAGUUAAAUCGGGUUAAGAUAUUUUCAACUUUCUUGAAUGAAUCUGGUUUAUUACACUUCUCUUUGUUUUUCUAUACAGAUAUUUUGAUUCUAUACUGUCUACAAAGUUUGAAAGUCAAGUAAUGUGCAUGAGUGGAGUGAUGUUGUACUGAAUGACUGUGUUUGUAAGGAGCAAAUGAUAUUUUAUAUUUUUCUUUAAGGAAAUAAAAGAAUUUCUCAAAACUUUUGUACAGUCU